AGAGUUUGAUCAUGGCUCAGAUUGAACGCUGGCGGCAGGCCUAACACAUGCAAGUCGAGCGGUAGAGAGGUGCUUGCACCUCUUGAGAGCGGCGGACGGGUGAGUAAAGCCUAGGAAUCUGCCUGGUAGUGGGGGAUAACGCUCGGAAACGGACGCUAAUACCGCAUACGUCCUACGGGAGAAAGCAGGGGACCUUCGGGCCUUGCGCUAUCAGAUGAGCCUAGGUCGGAUUAGCUAGUUGGUGAGGUAAUGGCUCACCAAGGCGACGAUCCGUAACUGGUCUGAGAGGAUGAUCAGUCACACUGGAACUGAGACACGGUCCAGACUCCUACGGGAGGCAGCAGUGGGGAAUAUUGGACAAUGGGCGAAAGCCUGAUCCAGCCAUGCCGCGUGUGUGAAGAAGGUCUUCGGAUUGUAAAGCACUUUAAGUUGGGAGGAAGGGCAUUAACCUAAUACGUUAGUGUUUUGACGUUACCGACAGAAUAAGCACCGGCUAACUCUGUGCCAGCAGCCGCGGUAAUACAGAGGGUGCAAGCGUUAAUCGGAAUUACUGGGGCGUAAGCGCGCGUAGGUGGUUCGUUAAGUUGGAUGUGAAAUCCCCGGGCUCAACCUGGGGACUGCAUUCAAAACUGUCGAGCUAGAGUAU
This 646-nucleotide ribosomal RNA is filed under the name uncultured bacterium. RNAcentral's name for it is "bacterial SSU rRNA". It matches the Rfam family "Bacterial small subunit ribosomal RNA", at positions 8 to 649 of the family's 1533-position model. The record is from RNAcentral.